AAGUAAACAAAGCUGGGACAUAGAAGCAGAACCGAGUCGUAUGUGUGGACGGACAGUAACUAUGUGUAUAUGUAAGCAUUUAAACACUGCAGAGAGUAGAAUUAACAGUAACAGUAUUGUAGAAAUUCAUUUCACCGAAACAAUAACGUGGCGCACAGUGUGACGCAUGCACCAGUUUAUUGUAUUUCCAGACUUGCUUUCGGCACAAUUUACAGUGCACGCUACUCUGUUUUUUGUCAGACUUGAAAUAGCCGAAAUACCUUCACACUACGGAACUUCUAUGGCUCUUCCGUUCGACAAUCUCUCCGGCAUUGGAACCAUCAUCUGUUUUCUCUUCGGUCACGCUCGGUUGAUUUUUCUAGUCGGCACACUCAUUUCCUCCAUUACCCGCUGGCUGCUUCCCAAACAAACACACGUGCGGCUUGGCACUUGUGCUGUACGUAACAAGUCACGCGACGUGACGCUGCGGCUGUGAUUUGUUCGGCUCUGCGCUACUCAAUUUGGAUUGGCUGACCUUUUUUUUUUUUUUUUUUUUUUUUGAGGACAAGAGCGGCGAGGUCUAUCGCGAUAGCUUAAUUUCUCUAUCGAGUAAAAGUUAUAUCGCGAUACAUAUCGUUAUCGUUCUAUCGCCCAGCUCUAAAAGACCAUCGUACGAACAAAGGUAAGUUUACCAGUCUCACAAAUCGUCGUCAUAAAUACACAUUCGUUAACCGUUUAUUAAUAGGACCUUUGAGCUCAACGGUAAUUAAUUAGUAGUGGAAAUAAUUUCUGGUAGCAUCACAGAAAUGUAGCAGUGACAAUAAUAUUGUAUGCUGUAAUCGUACUGGACAAUUAGUGAUACAAAACAACAGUUUUAUCCUGUGAAUAAAAGUAUAUGUUUUUGUCAAUGUACCAUAAUAACAGAAGCGAAACGCAAUAUUGUGUCAGGACAAUUUACUAUUUAUGCACAAUAAAUAAAGGAGCAUAGCGCAACCAUUUCUGUUCAGCGCCAGACUUGUAACCUAUAUCACCAAUUAUGUUAAGAAAAAGGACGUAUUAACUAC
This is a long non-coding RNA of Astatotilapia calliptera (eastern happy), 1043 nucleotides long. Lineage: Eukaryota; Metazoa; Chordata; Actinopteri; Cichliformes; Cichlidae. The record is from Ensembl.